RNAcentral lists this ribosomal RNA (481 nucleotides) under uncultured bacterium. Its description in RNAcentral is "partial 16S ribosomal RNA". It matches the Rfam family "Bacterial small subunit ribosomal RNA", at positions 28 to 507 of the family's 1533-position model. The record is from RNAcentral.
GAUGAACGCUGGCGGCGUGCCUAACACAUGCAAGUCAAGCGAAGCGCUUAAAUUAGAUUUCUUCGGAAUGACGAUUUUUGUGACUGAGCGGCGGACGGGUGAGUAACGCGUGGGUAACCUGCCUCAUACAGGGGGAUAACAGUUAGAAAUGACUGCUAAUACCGCAUAAGACCCCAGCUUCGCAUGAAGCGGUGGUAAAAACUCCGGUGGUAUGAGAUGGACCCGCGUCUGAUUAGCUAGUUGGUAAGGUAACGGCUUACCAAGGCGACGAUCAGUAGCCGACCUGAGAGGGUGACCGGCCACAGUGGGACUGAGACACGGCCCAGACUCCUACGGGAGGCAGCAGUGGGGAAUAUUGCACAAUGGGGGAAACCCUGAUGCAGCGACGCCGCGUGAAGGAUGAAGUAUUUCGGUAUGUAAACUUCUAUCAGCAGGGAAGAAAGUGACGGUACCUGACUAAGAAGCCCCGGCUAACUACGUA